UACGGAGGGUGCAAGCGUUAUCCGGAUUCACUGGGUUUAAAGGGUGCGUAGGUGGGCAAGUAAGUCAGUGGCGAAAUCUCCGGGCUUAACCCGGAAACUGCCAUUGAUACUAUUUGUCUUGAAUACUGUGGAGGUCAGCGGAAUAUGUCAUGUAGCGGUGAAAUGCUUGGAUAUGACAUAGAACACCAAUUGCGAAGGCAGCUGGCUACACAAAUAUUGACACUGAGGCACGAAAGCGUGGGGAUCAAACAGG
RNAcentral lists this ribosomal RNA (253 nucleotides) under uncultured bacterium. RNAcentral's name for it is "partial 16S ribosomal RNA". It matches the Rfam family "Bacterial small subunit ribosomal RNA", at positions 524 to 776 of the family's 1533-position model. The record is from RNAcentral.